GCGGCUGUGACGCAGGAGGCGGGAUGGCGCGUCGGCGCGUGAUGGCGUGAGGCACGUGGGCAGGUCAUGAUGCUGUAGCGAUGCGCCGAACUGCCGAAGGAGCCGCAGUUGCUGGAUCGAGUGGAGACGGAGACGCGCGAGCCACCGGCCGGAGUCAACGCACUGAGCACGGUCGACGGCAGCAACAGCAAGUGAUCAACGUGAGUGUGGUAAGUCCCUUGACUUUGUCACUCCCCAAGUUUCACUUUGUCCCGAUUCAGAUGCUCAAUUGCUCAAGUAGUCAAGUGUUCGUUGACUUGUUGGUAUAUGGGCUGUAGGCGUUUAUAUAGAUAGUGAGUUUGAGUCCCGAUUCAGAUGCUCAAGUACUGUAAUUACUACUAUGUGUAUGUAGAUAGCAGAUUGUUUUGACACCUUAUGCAGACAACAAAAUUGAUGUAUGUGUAUCAGUGUAUGCAGAGUUGCAGACAACAGACUAAAUUCUACUGUUAGGCUAAAUUCUACUGUUAAAUGUACUAUUUGUAGAUAAAUUCUACUAUUUAUUUAUAUAAAUUCUACUGUUAGGCUAAAUUCUACUGUUAAAUUAGACAACAGACUAAAUUCUACUGUUAGACAACAAAAUUGAUGUAUGUGUAUUAGUUCACUAGUUGUAGAUAAAGUGUACUAUUAGGCUAAAUUCUACUGUUAAAUGUACUUUUUCCUGUAACUAUGAGUGAUGUUAUAUAUUGUACUGUUUAUUUCAUCUUACUUAUACUGUUAUAUUUUCUAUAACAAAUUGUCACUUCUCAUUGCUGAUAUGUUAGGCUAACUAGUUGUAUCAUUUGUUGUUUGUAGAUGGCAGAACAAAGUUCUCGUAUUUCGCAUUCAGACACCUCCCCUUACAACGCUUCNN
RNAcentral lists this long non-coding RNA (889 nucleotides) under Triticum aestivum (bread wheat). RNAcentral's name for it is "long non-coding RNA (TAES_LNC010147)". The record is from RNAcentral. Lineage: Eukaryota; Viridiplantae; Streptophyta; Magnoliopsida; Poales; Poaceae.